UGGCGCACGGGUGAGUAACACGUGAGUAACCUGCCCCCGAGAGCGGGAUAGCCCUGGGAAACUGGGAUUAAUACCGCAUAGUAUCGAAAGAUUAAAGCAGCAAUGCGCUUGGGGAUGGGCUCGCGGCCUAUUAGUUAGUUGGUGAGGUAACGGCUCACCAAGGCGAUGACGGGUAGCCGGUCUGAGAGGAUGUCCGGCCACACUGGAACUGAGACACGGUCCAGACACCUACGGGUGGCAGCAGUCGAGAAUCAUUCACAAUGGGGGAAACCCUGAUGGUGCGACGCCGCGUGGGGGAAUGAAGGUCUUCGGAUUGUAAACCCCUGUCAUGUGGGAGCAAAUUAAAAAGAUAGUACCACAAGAGGAAGAGACGGCUAACUCUGUGCCANGCAGCCGCGGGCAUNCAGAGGUCUCAAGCGUUGNUCGGAAUCACUGGGCGUAAAGCGUGCGUAGGCUGUUUCGUAAGUCGUGUGUGAAAGGCGCGGGCUCAACCCGCGGACGGCACAUGAUACUGCGAGACUAGAGUAAUGGAGGGGGAACCGGAAUUCUCGGUGUAGCAGUGAAAUGCGUAGAUAUCGAGAGGAACACUCGUGGCGAAGGCGGGUUCCUGGACAUUAACUGACGCUGAGGCACGAAGGCCAGGGGAGCGAAAGGGAUUAGAUACCCCUGUAGUCCUGGCAGUAAAC
This 686-nucleotide ribosomal RNA is filed under the name uncultured bacterium. RNAcentral describes it as "bacterial SSU rRNA". It matches the Rfam family "Bacterial small subunit ribosomal RNA", at positions 96 to 807 of the family's 1533-position model. The record is from RNAcentral.